GGCACACUCACAAUGCUUUAUUUUACAUUAUCUGAAAGGCUUUUAACUCACAAUUCUCACAAUUUUACAAAACUUCGCUUCAGCCGUUACAUCUCUCAAAGUCAAAGCCUCUCUUCAGCCGUUACAUCUCUCACCCCAUCGCCGCCGCCCCUGAAUCCGGUCGGCGUCGUCUCCCUAUUCACAGUCUCUAUCUUCUCUCAAUCUUUUUCUCUCUCUGAAGUCGAUUCCCUAAGAUUUCUUCUUUCCUAAUCCCGUUGCCCUUCCUUCUUCUAGACUCCGGCGAAAUAGCCGCCACUUCGCCGCUGAGCUUGCGGUUCGUCCGGCCUCGAGUCACCGCUGAGCCCUGGAGUUCGUCCACCGCGCCGUCGACCACCACCGACAACUUCUCUGUUUUGAUACCUCCAUUUCCGGAUCCGCCGUGAUUCUUCCUACACAGCCAUGUAGGAAACGAAUUAUUGAUAUUGUAUUCAGAGUAGACUGAAAUUGAUGUUUGAUCACUCCUGGUAAUGGUUCAUGGUAUUUUUCCAUUGAUUCAGAUUAUUUUGGCUGAUUUGCUGCUCAUAUAGACUUGGAAUCUUAGGAUAUUUUGAGUGGUUGAUCAUUUGAUCGGUGUAUUUUUUAGAUUUAUUUGUUGAAUCUUGUAUUUUCAGAUACAAGUGCUGGGUGGAUCGGGGGUGUUAACCUGGAUAAUGGUGGCGCGAAUGACCCGAAGAACCUUAAAAGUCAAGGGAAGUGGCUUGGAAGCAGACAAAUUCGCUGCAAUUGGGCGGCAAAAGGUGCUGGUCAAGGCGAUGAGCAGCAGAAUCCUGAUUCAAAAAAUGUUGUGGAACUAACAAAUGGAGCAUCUGAUGAUGGCCAAGAAAAACGGAAGGAAGAUGCUCCAGAGAAUAAUCCACAGUAUACAACUGUUUAUGUGGGAAAUCUUGCUCCUGAAGUCACAUCAGUUGAUCUCCAUCGCCAUUUCCAUGCACUUGGCGUUGGAGUGAUUGAAGAUGUCAG
This is a long non-coding RNA of Salvia miltiorrhiza (redroot sage), 999 nucleotides long. RefSeq lists it as uncharacterized. Lineage: Eukaryota; Viridiplantae; Streptophyta; Magnoliopsida; Lamiales; Lamiaceae. The record is from RefSeq and is a predicted model, not a curated record. The transcript is spliced from 5 exons.